RNAcentral lists this long non-coding RNA (1178 nucleotides) under Anas platyrhynchos platyrhynchos (common mallard). RNAcentral's name for it is "lncRNA (ENSAPLG00000026763.1)". Lineage: Eukaryota; Metazoa; Chordata; Aves; Anseriformes; Anatidae. The record is from RNAcentral.
CAGUUUCACCAUAUGCUCAUUUGACCAGAUGGCACUAGUGCCCCUGUGCUGAAUUUGGUUGCCAUGAACUUAUGGCAACACAGGGUGAGUGAAGAACAGGUUGUUUCUCUUUUCUUGGAUUUUGAGAGGCAAGGAGGAUGUGUGUAGGACCACUAGGAAAAUUUCUGUUAUGAACUGUUGGGUUUUGGAUCACUGUUUCAGGAUGAGUACUGUGCAAAAUUAACUGACCACUAGGAGAGAUUAAGAGUUAAGACCCAAGAUGGGUCUGCAGGACAGCUUUUGCUGGGCUUUUUAGUGUCUGAAAACAGUGGCAACAUGACCUCAUGGGAAAGCUCUUGCACAUGGAUCUUUCUUCAGCGUGCUGUGUGGGAUAGCCAGUGCCUGGUGAGUGUUACGUUUGGAGGAAGAGCGUGUUUGUUCAGAGAGACCUCUAAUUAGACGGUACAGCAACCCUACAGCUGGAUAGCCCGCACUGCUUGCCUCUGACAAGAGCUUUCUGUUUGUGCCAGCAGUUGUUAUGACACCGGCAUAUCCCAGCAGUGGGAGGCACCAUCGAAUAGAUCCGCAAAUGCAUGCAAGAAUGCACGAGGCAAAGGAAAACAGAAAGAAAGAAAAAAAAAGUGCUGCUUCUGCUAUGUCUGCAUGCUUCCAGCUGCUCCCUGGGAAGCAUCGGUCGCGGGCCCCAGGGCACCGCAGCCCGCUAGGGGGAGGCAUCGGCUCGGGAAAGCCCCCGGAUCCCGCCCCGCACCGCCCCGCGCCCGGGGCAGCUCCAGCUGCACGUUCUCCUACUCCCAUAGGUUUGCAGCAUCUGCAAAAAGCCUCUUGGAAAUGGAGCCUAUCUGCAUCAAUUCAAAGGCCAACAUUUCUGAUGGAUACAUCAACCUAGAUAAAGGAGAUUAUUACAGCCAAGUUAGCACAAAUCACAAAUCUGCUGAGGCUUGAAAGCACUAUUGUGGUCUCUCUUCUUUUGUUUCACUCCCUCAUUUCAAGUAAAUAUUAUUGUAGUGUGGAUUCAUGGCCUGUUUUAUUUAACUGUGAUAUCAGAUGCCUGAGACUCAAAUGCCAUCAAGCCAUUCAUAUAUAGUUAUCCUAAACACAAAGCAAGCAUUGUGCACUCUAAAUGAAUGUGUUUAAUUACCUUCAACCCAUUUGAAUAAAGCUGUACCACAUGACUGGCA